RNAcentral lists this ribosomal RNA (547 nucleotides) under uncultured bacterium. RNAcentral's name for it is "bacterial SSU rRNA". It matches the Rfam family "Bacterial small subunit ribosomal RNA", at positions 774 to 1317 of the family's 1533-position model. The record is from RNAcentral.
AGUGAAUAGAUACCCUGGUAGUCCACGCCCUAAACUAUGUCAACUAGGUGUUGGGUGGGUAAAACCAUUUAGUACCGUAGCUAAACGCGUGAAAGUUGACCGCCUGGGGAGUACGGCCGCAAGGUUAAAACUCAAAGGAAUUGACGGGGACCCGCACAAGCGGUGGAUGAUGUGGAUUAAUUCGAUGCAACGCGAAAAACCUUACCUACCCUUGACAUGCCAGGAACUUGCCAGAGAUGGCUUGGUGCCCGAAAGGGAGCCUGGACACAGGUGCUGCAUGGCUGUCGUCAGCUCGUGUCGUGAGAUGUUGGGUUAAGUCCCGCAACGAGCGCAACCCUUGUCGUUAAUUGCCAUCAUUUGGUUGGGCACUUUAACGAGACUGCCGGUGACAAACCGGAGGAAGUGGGGAUGACGUCAAGUCCUCAUGGCCCUUAUGGGUAGGGCUUCACACGUCAUACAAUGGUCGGUACAGAGGGUUGCCAAGCCGUGAGGCGGAGCCAAUCCCAGAAAGCCGAUCGUAGUCCGGAUUGCAGGCUGCAACUCGCCU